Molecule: long non-coding RNA, 718 nt
Filed under: Vigna radiata
Lineage: Eukaryota; Viridiplantae; Streptophyta; Magnoliopsida; Fabales; Fabaceae
Description: long non-coding RNA (VRAD_LNC007549)
Source: RNAcentral
GCUCUGCUUCCAUAAGGGCUACAAAAUCGAAGUACUAUAUUCAGUUCCAUACAUCUAAAGUACUAAAACUCUUUCUUGUGUGUGUCCUUUAGACCUUUGUUUCGUACCAUGGCAAGACAAUCCUUAUCAGUUCCAAAGUCUGGGGGGUUAAUGCAACGGUGUUCAAGGCACUUCAGGGAGCAGAAAACUAGAUUUUAUAUCAUCUGGAGAUGCACCGUCUUUCUUAUGAGGUGUGAAGACAGGUUUUGACUGCUGCCGUAGACAUAGGGGAAGAACAUAGAUUUGAGAAUACAACUAGUUUUUUUUUUUUUUUUUUUUUUUUUUUUUUUUUUUANGGGGUUAAUGCAACGGUGUUCAAGGCACUUCAGGGAGCAGAAAACUAGAUUUUAUAUCAUCUGGAGAUGCACCGUCUUUCUUAUGAGGUGUGAAGUUUGGUUUUGACUGCUGCCGUAGACAUAUGAGAAUUUCAUAUAAUUGAGAAUACAACUAGUUUUUUUUUUUUUUUUUUUUUUUUCUUUUUUUUUUAAUUAUUAUUAUUAUGAUGUUCUAUGUAGACGAAGAGUGGCUGCAAGGCUUCAAUUACACAGUCUCUGAUAAAAAUAUGUAAAGUUACUAGAUUUUGUUCUAGUCUUCUUUUACUCUCUUGAACUACAAUUAUAAGUUUUCUUUUCAUUGGCGAGAAAAACUUAUGCAAUUAAGAUCAAUUGAUAAUUCUCAC